GUCUAAAACGACUCUCGACAACGGAUAUCUCGGCUCUUGCAUCGAUGAAGAACGUAGCGAAAUGCGAUACUUGGUGUGAAUUGCAGAAUCCCGUGAACCAUCGAGUUUUUGAACGCAAGUUGCGCCCGAAGCCAUUAGGUUGAGGGCACGCCUGCCUGGGUGUCAUUAA
Molecule: ribosomal RNA, 169 nt
Filed under: Platymiscium pinnatum
Lineage: Eukaryota; Viridiplantae; Streptophyta; Magnoliopsida; Fabales; Fabaceae
Also listed under: 1 other name
Description: 5.8S ribosomal RNA
Rfam family: 5.8S ribosomal RNA
About the family: 5.8S ribosomal RNA (5.8S rRNA) is a component of the large subunit of the eukaryotic ribosome. It is transcribed by RNA polymerase I as part of the 45S precursor that also contains 18S and 28S rRNA.
Source: RNAcentral